Molecule: microRNA precursor, 67 nt
Organism: Alligator mississippiensis (American alligator)
Lineage: Eukaryota; Metazoa; Chordata; Crocodylia; Alligatoridae
Rfam family: mir-34 microRNA precursor family
About the family: Human mir-34a was discovered computationally and later experimentally verified. The mature sequence is excised from the 5' arm of the hairpin.
Source: Rfam
AGUUGCUAGGCAGUGUAGUUAGCUGAUUGCAAAAGGCAACAAUCACUAACCACACAGCCAGGUAAAA